This 253-nucleotide ribosomal RNA is filed under the name uncultured bacterium. RNAcentral describes it as "partial 16S ribosomal RNA". It matches the Rfam family "Bacterial small subunit ribosomal RNA", at positions 524 to 776 of the family's 1533-position model. The record is from RNAcentral.
UACGUAGGUGGCGAGCGUUGUCCGGAAUUAUUGGGCGUAAAGAGCGCGUAGGCGGCUUGUCAGGUCUGACGUGAAAUGCCGGGGCUCAACCCCGGACGUGCGUCAGAAACCGGCUUGCUAGAGUCUGGGAGAGGGAAGUGGAAUUCCUGGUGUAGCGGUGAAAUGCGCAGAUAUCAGGAGGAACACCGGUAGCGAAGGCUGCUUCCUGGAACAGUACUGACGCUGAGGCGCGAAAGCUAGGGGAGCAAACAGG